AUUGAACGCUGGCGGCAUGCUUUACACAUGCAAGUCGAACGGACUUAGGUGCUUGCACCUAGGUUAGUGGCGAACGGGUGAGUAAUGCAUCGGAACGUACCGUGUAAUGGGGGAUAACGCAGCGAAAGUUGUGCUAAUACCGCAUACGAUCUACGGAUGAAAGCAGGGGAUCGCAAGACCUUGCGUUAUACGAGCGGCCGAUGCCGGAUUAGCUAGUUGGUAGGGUAAAGGCCUACCAAGGCAACGAUCCGUAGCGGGUCUGAGAGGAUGAUCCGCCACACUGGGACUGAGACACGGCCCAGACUCCUACGGGAGGCAGCAGUGGGGAAUUUUGGACAAUGGGCGCAAGCCUGAUCCAGCCAUGCCGCGUGAGUGAAGAAGGCCUCG
Molecule: ribosomal RNA, 387 nt
Filed under: uncultured bacterium
Lineage: Bacteria
Description: bacterial SSU rRNA
Rfam family: Bacterial small subunit ribosomal RNA
Source: RNAcentral